UUUUUUGGUAUUGGAGAUGGAAUGCAGGGGUGCUAUAGCAUUAUACCACUGAACUACAUCCAGUGUUGUUUUUUGUAUUUUGUUUUUUCUGAAAUAGGGUCUUACUAAAGUUGCUAAGGCUGGUCUUAAACUUGUGAUCCUUGCCUCAGUUUCUAAAGUUGCUGGGGUUAUAGACAUGUGCCACUGCUCCAAGCCUUUUUAAAUUCUGACAGAAAAAUAAAAACCUGUAUUUACUAUUUUUUAGUAAUUUACUUUUGGCAUUUUAGACAUUUUUUGAAUAUUUUUUCUACCUUAAAAAUGGUUAUUAAAUAGGAGAUUAUUAAAGUUUAAAAUAGUUUUCAUUUUCAUGAUGUAAUUUUAUACUGUACAAAUAUAUAGUUCCAGUUUGAAAUGCACUGUUUCCUUUUUAUAAGUUUUAAUUAUAUUAUUAUAUAUCACAUUAUAUUAUUUAUAUAUUCACAUAUUACAAGCAGGGUAAACAGUCCAGUUGUCAUGAAACUGACCUUAUUUUCUCACCAUCUCUUUUCCUAUUCCUUACUUUUUCCUGUCCUUUUUAUUUCAUAGUGCCCCAUGUGCAAAUGAAAAAUGCAUCAUUUUUUCUUCAUCAAAUGUUUUACUUCAGAUACUUUUUUUAAAAAAUGGAGUGUACAGUGAAACAUCUUAAAUAAUAUUAUAUUACUAAGGCCUAAAGAAUGCAAACCAUUGCAAUACUGAAUAGUCAGGUACAAGAUGCCCCAGACUAAGGGUGAAGUCUCAUACUUUCAUUUUGUAAGGUGUUGUUUCAGCAGAUAGACUUAUUUCUUCAGUAAUGAUUAGUGUCUUGGGAUCAGAAUUGACUAAAUAUACAACUUUAAGUUAAAACCUCAUUUCUUCAGAAAUCUUUCUCAGUCCUUAGUAAGUCUUCUGGAUGGAUGGUACACUGCAAAAUCAGUAUAUUUGCUAUUAUUUUGCUAUUAUUUUAUUGUUUAAAGCCUGUUUUUGCCAUUAUGAAGACCUUCCUGUCAUUUGGAUCUGGAUACAUGUAUUCAAAGAUGAUUUAUUUUCAUUUUAUUUAACAAAUUCUUAUAUUUUACUGUUUUAAAUACUUUACAAAUAUUAGUUUAUAUAAUCCUCUUAACUCUACACUAACACAUAGCUUCAUUUUACAAUUGAGAAAACUAAGGUACAGAGUUUUAUCUUGUGGUAGGGCCUUAAGUUGGGGGAGACUACUGAGGGUAGGUCAAGAAGAUAACUUAAUAGUAGUGCUAAGAAGCAAAAGAAAGAUAUGCAGGAGUUUGAGGAAGAUGGGUCUGUUUAGGAAGGAGUAAGGAUUCAGCUGGGCCUAGUCUUAAAGAGUGGCAUGUCAUCCUUACUCAAUUUUAAGUCUUUGGGCUCUAGAAGCAAAGGACAAACUUAGAAAGAGGAGCUGCUCCUCAGGUUUCAGCUGCCUGUUCAGCCUGGCAGGUGGAUUGUACUGGCUCAUGUGAUUCUUACAGGGCUGCACCAACCUUUAUGUCUUACCUCCUAGCAUUUCUUGGCUGACUCAGGGCCAUUUUGUCCCUGAAGGGUUUAACUUUUCCCUCAGCUGGGAAUUUGGGCAUUGCAAAUCACUGGAGAAAUUUUUUCCCCAGCCUUUACUUCAGCCCACUGCAGCCCCUUCCUUGCACUAUGCAUAUUCCAUUGAAAUAUUUUUCAGUAGGGUCUAUGCAUCUGUAUUUUAUGAAAUUCAGAGAUUGAUGUUAAGCAACAAAAUUAAAGGUCAAAUCCAUCUUUUUUGUUGGAAUUGGAGAGCAGUUAAAAUCAGACAAUAUGGAAAUAUGUAGUAAAAAGUAGAAAUAUGGAGAAAAAAAAAGAGAGAGAAUGUAGAAAAGAAGAGAUAAAUUGGGAUGGGGAAGGAUGGUGAAAAAAUGGAGAGAAUUGCUGAUUUGCUUCACACCCACACCUCCUCCCUGAAUUCACAGUAACAGCAGCAGUGUCACUCUCUUUUCCCUGACAUGUGCUUUACCAGGGAGUUGAGCAUUGUGGGAGUGGAAAAUUUUUCUCUUCUGCAUUUUGAAACUUGGGUGUGCUGCUUUAAGAUGCCACUGGUAUCUCAGUAAUGUUUGUUUGUACUGGAUAUUAUCUCUGUAGCCUUUGUGGAUGGGGCUUAUAACACAAACAAUACUGUUAACAGAACUGCAGGUACUCGAUUGCUAUGUUUAUUUUAUUAGUUAAAAAACUGCGAGAGCCAUAGGACUUCUGAGCACAUUUAGAAAAUACCAGAGGCAAUUUGAAGAACAACUUUAGAAAGAAAGAAAAAAUAAAAGGAAAAGUUAAGGCUUGCGUGCUUUAGAAUACUAACCGCCAUGAUAGAUUUUCCCCCAAUGAUUCUAAAUUAGGAUAGUUCAUUUUAAAAAGGUAAGUGUAAAGUAUUCUUCAUGUAGUAUAGAAUAAGUUCCCUUUUCUUAAUAGAUAGUCUAGCAGAAAUAUAAGUGUACCGCUUUUGUUUCAUACAAUACAGAACUAAAGUUGGAACAAAAAUUCUUUGAGGACUUUUAGUUUCUUUCUUUGCUGCUGUUUAACUCAUCUCUCAUGACUUUUCCUGGUCAGACACAGGUUCGAAAGAAUGUCUUACUUAUUUAUGAUUAUAUUGGGAAAGAAUAAUUGAAAAUGACCCUUACAGAAAAUCCAUAAUACAUGAUCAUCUUACUCUUAAACUUUGUAAUAAUUUAUAUUAUGGCCCCCCUUUUUAUAAGAAGGGAAGUAUCCCUUUUUAUCAUGUUAUCUGUAGAAAAGGUAAUUAUUUAUUCACAUUUAUGAAAAGUAUUCUGUUUAAAUAACAGAACGUUAAGCUAAUCUAAAUGGCAAAAGUGUCGAUUUGGAUAAAUUCAUUUAUUUUUAAAUAGUAGUUCAUUCCCCAGAUAGAGAAACAUGAUCCUAUCAGGUUUGUUUAGAACCCCAUCCAUGAAACAAAGUAAAUUAAAGAUUUUUUUCUGAUACUUGUAUGGCAGUAACAUACUGUUCACACAUUUGAGAAAUCACUAAUAAAUUACCUUUAGGAAAUAGAAAAGAGGAAAAGGAGUUUUCCUUUUUUACUUUUAUUUUUGCUUAACCUACUUUUUUCCCACUUCACCAUCCUUUUGUAUUUUAUGGAAAUAUUCUUUUUGCUCUACUGUUCUCCCCAUUUGAGCAUCCUAGAUUGCCACCACACCAAGAUUUUCUGCUUUAAGGCAGAAAUGGAACCUGGGCCUAGAGCUAGGUGGAAAUGAUUCCAUACUUUCUCAGACACUCUGUCCUCCCUAGAAGCAAGAGAAACAAAACAGAAAUUGGUGGUUUGUUGCUGUUGCUUCUGCAGUUGCCCUGUUUGACCUGAGUUUUUUCUUACCUCUAUUCUUAAUGUUUAACUAUGUGGUCUUACUGUAUUUCAUCAUUAUCUCUAGUGAUUCACAUUUAUCACAAACCUGCUGUGAGUACAUAUUAAUUAGGUGAAAAAGUAGAAUGCAAUCAUAACAUGGGUUUUAAAAUAACUAUUCUUUGAAAGGAAGGGUGUUUUUUAUAGGUUUAUGUUUCUUUUGUUGAAAAUCUAUGAAUUCUUAUUUGAGCAACUGAUAGUCCAAAACACUUUAAGUCAAAUAUUAACUUGCAGUAACUGCUGAUUUUGAUGUGAGUGAGCUAUUUUAAAUUAAGUUAUCCAUUCUCGUGUGAAAUGGUAUAGAAAUCUUGCAGCCUGAUUUGGUUGGACUCUGAAUAAAAUUUUCAUUGUCACUGUUUUCUGUAUGCUUUCUUCCUGUUUGCCUCUGGUAUAAGGUAUAUGAGCCUCUUAUAACCCAGUCCCCACACCAUGCAGUGUUGGAGACAAGUAAGUUCUUCUGCAGAAAGCUUUAUAAGUCUGGUGCUAACUACUGUGUCUGUAAAUAUACUCUCAAACAAUUUUGUAGUCCCACUAUUUUUAAAAAUGUGUGGGUGUGGGAAGUGAUGUUGAAUGAGUUCAGGGUAAUUGGUGGUUCUUUAUAUUAAGAAAAAUCACACUAGUUAGAAGUCUGCUUCCAUAAUUCGUGUAUGUUUAAUUUUUUAAAACUUCUAGCCCUCCCUCACUGAAGUUUCCACUCUACCUCAUAAAUUUAAGCAAUGAAGAGUCAAAGCAUUUUAUAACUAGAAGGAUUUUAUAGAGAAUGUUAUGAACCCUCUCAUUAUAGUUAAGGAGAUUGAUGUCCGGUAAAGUUAAAUGAGAUCAUGUAGCUUGUUUAGUACGUUUCCAUUAAUAGACACUGUUCUGAUUAAUCUGUCCUAGCACAUUAAUAAUCAGAAAGUAAUAAUAAGGAAACAUAGCUAACAGGCCUAUAGUAUUUUCUCAUAUAUACCUGUAUCACUUCUCAGGAGUGCUCUAUGAGGUAUAGGUAUCCUAGUUUCCACUCCUAGAGAAAGCAGGCUCAUGUCUGGGGGAGGGAGGGGGAGGUUAUAGACCUGUCUAUACUGACAUCUAUCAGAAGGGCUCAUUUUCUUGUUUUCCCAUCUUGGCAGAAUCAUAGCCUAUCUCAGGAGAGUUCCCAAGACCACAGGAUGGAGAAAUCUUAUCUUUAGAUGUUGGCGUUGGCUCUUACCUGGGACCAAUUAUUAACUUCUCUGCCUAUUUCAUAACUUUUUUUUAAAGGGGGAAAAAAGUACAUUUUUAGAGAACUAUGAGCUCUUAAAUUUUUCAAAAUAAAGAUGGCGUUUAAUUGUAAAAGGUGUGUUAAAAAAAUCUCCUUACCAGCAUUUUAACAAUUCAGCCAAUAUAUGAGCAUCCACUAUAUCCCAGGCACAUUGAGGGUCCCAGUAGUGAUUAAGACAAAAUUGUGACCUGGACAGAAAAGGCUUAUGCAAUCCUCCCUCUUUUUAGAUUUAUUCACGUAGAGAACUAUUCACAAGAAAUGUCUUGCUUUUUUCUAUGUUGCUCUUGAGGAAUGAAAGUAUUAUUUCUUACGUCUGAAAUGAGUCAACAUUUUUAAUACUUUGUAUUAAAGUAUCCAUAUUAGAGAAAAUUUGUAAGAUACUUUAAUAUAGUAACGAUUAUAUCACUUUUUUUCUUAGAUUUUCUUUAACCUGAUGAAAUAUCUAAAGUUCUCAGUUAUUGCAUAGCUUUGAAAACAUGUUUUAAUGAUUAUGUAAUUUCAAAGUGAUUCAGUUUCUAAUUAUGUCAACCUGACUUUUUAUGCCAAUUUAUUAUUAAUAUUAUAUUAUACAAAAUGGUUAAUAAAAGAUUCAAAAUUAACUUUGAUUUUAUAAAUGCUUUCUAAAAUAAAAAAUAAAAAAUGAAUUAAGUUGCAGAUUCCUUUAACUUGUUGAAAAAGUUGACAGAAGUAUCAACUUUAUACUUUGGACCUGAAUUAGAAAUUGAUGUUUUUCAAAUUAUGAAAUUUAUAAACACAAUAAACAUUUAAGAGGCAGUUUCUGUUAUAGAAUUGUGUGCCUCUGAAAUGAUUAUUACUCUGAAGGAAUAGUACUAAUCAUGUCGAAUUUUUACUGUUUAGGGAAUUAUAGCUUUGAUUUUUUUAAAAAAAGACGAAGUUUUGAAUUCUGCCACAUGAUUAUUACAGUGAAACUCAUCCUAAAUUUACAUAAUGUUCCCUCAGAAAUGUCUGUUUCAGCAGAACUGGGAGAGUAUUUCUUGUGAGAGAGGCUCUUUGUGAGGAAGAAGUCUAAUGGAGCCUGAGCAAGGAAGGGUGGAGCUGAGCCAGCAGGUGGUCUGAGGGAGGCUGCCUGGGAACUGCUGACAGUGUAGGCUGGAGGAAAGGGAGGGCCCUGAGGCAGGAGGAGUGCAGUGGAAAGUCCCUUAUUAGCCUGAAAGCUAUGAUGCUCUGACCCUCUGGAAUCCCCCUCCCUAGUAGGGAUGCCAGCCAAAGUUGGAGAGGAUGGGCUCCCAGUAGAUCAGGGUGGGUGGAGAAAGUAGGGUGAUAACAGCCCAAAAGCUCAUGAUAAAGUUUGAGAGCUCCUGUCUGGGAAUCAGUACUAUUUUAAAGGAGAGCUUGGCAGUGAAUAAAUACAUGAAAAAUGAGUGAGUGACUUAAUUGUUUUCAUCACCAAAUGGUCUUUUCUACUCUUAAUUUUUUGGUUAACUUUUAUAUUCAAUUUACAAUGAACUGUUAUUGAUUAUCUCAUAUUUAUCCACACCCAUGAAGUCUUCUUGCACCACAAAUGAUCCAGAAAGACUUACAAUAAACAAAACAUCAGAACAAGAGAGUAAGUGAUGGGCGUGAUUUCUACACUCAAUCCUGUGAUACUGAUGACAUACCUGUGAUGGCAACUGCUUUUUCAUGCUGUGACAGGGAUGAAAUGAAGCCAUGCAUUGACAUUGCUUGACAUACAACAAAUACUUAGUUGAGGUUAUAUUUAAAUUAAGACUAUAUAUAUAUAUAUAUAUAUAUAUAUAUAUGGUUACAUAUAUACUUUUUAGCUUAAUUCUUCAUUUUCACUGCCAUUUUAUCAAAGAAUGCUUAUUGAACAAAAUAAUUAUGUUCAUUUCUACAGUAGAAUAUAUAUAUAUUUUUUAUAACUCUGGAAGCUGUAUGCUUUCAAGAUAAUCUUCUCUUCCUAGAAUUUCAGAUUGUUAAUCUUUCAUGUGAGCAUAAGCCAUGAGAAAUGUUCUCAGGGAAUUCCUGUACCCUCUAUCCAUCUUCACAAGGCAAGGGCCAGGUAGGUCUUUAUUUGUAUUACUUAUAAAUAAAAGCUAACAAAAGACUGCUUAUUAGCAAGAAGUAUAUUGAGAAUUAGAAGCCCUUGAACUAGGUUAAAAACAAUGAGGACUGCUAAGUGUAAAAGAAUAAAUCAGAGAAGACAAAGAUUAAUUUUAAAGUGUAGAUUUUUUUUUUUUUGUAUAUUUAGGUCACUUCCAUUUCAGAUGAGUUCUAGGUAUGCAUUCUACAAAAGGAAGAGAGACCACUUGUGUUUGUCUUCAUGUGUGUUUCAAAAAAAAAAAGGACAGAGGCUGAAUGUCAACACUAUUAAUGCAAUUGCCUGAACUGUAGGGCCUCAAAGAGAGGUAGGCUGGAAGGAUGCAUAGCCUGGGCACUAUGCCCUGUGCUGACUUGGAAUACACCCCUUCCUAGAGCACCACUGCAAAAACUCUAGCCUGAAGACUGGAAGGUUAUAAGGACAAGAGAGGAGAGAGGUGAAAGCAGAGAGAGAAGCUUUAUUCUCUAGGUGACCAGGGUUCCUACAUGCACAUUUUCAUUUCCAUCACUCUCUAAAGGAGAGUACUAGGAGAGAAAGAGACAGACACAUAGACAUCAUAAGCAAUGGUAACCUUCACCAACUGCUAAGUGCCUAAAAUCUCCAGUCAGAUAUGGGCCAUUAAAUUUAUGUGAAUAAAUUGUGAAUAGUUGUUGUAGGGAACUUGGGUGCCUAAUAACAUUUUAAGAUAUUCUUAAAAUGUAUAUAGCCUGCAGAAAGUACAUUAUUAAAGAGUCAAUUGAAAGGGUCAAUAUUGAAUCUUAGCUCACUAAGGUGAGCUAAGAAAAUUCUUAAGUUUUUUUCUGGGGCUGGUCCCAAACUGUUCCCCACAAGAAGGAAUUAAACAAUUCUUCAAACAGAUAUGGGAAAGAGUAUAAAACUUGACCAGGGUAUAGACAUCCAGAGCUGUACCUUUUGGGUAGGAAGACUCAGGGACAUCAAUUAACAGAGCUAAAGAAAUGGAAUGCUCAUGGUUUUGAACUAGACAAGUUGUUUUUGGUAUUUCCAGAGUUGUAAAUGACCAAGCAUUAAAUCUGAUGUAUUUAACAAAAUUGGAUCUUAUUCUGCCAUAUUUGUUUUUAACCCAUGAUUUUGAGUAGAUUUACUGGUCACACUUUUCAGAUAGUAAUAAGAUUUUUUCAGUCUUAAGCAAACUUACUUAGUUCAGUCCUUAUAGAACAGUGGUUCUCUGCCAGAAUGAUAUAAUGGAAGCCUUAGAUAACUCAUGCAAAAUAUACAAAUCCAGCAGUCUCCUCAUCUACUGAUUAAGAAUUGCAGAAUGGUUGUGGUAAGAGAAAAUUGAGGUAUAUGGAGUUAGAUGAAGCUGUCUAGAUAAUCUGUUACUACUGUUUAGCUUUGAUAAUUACACUGAUAUACAGAUAGAAAGAUAGAUAUAUAUAGAGAGAGUGAAAUAUGGCCUAAACAGCUCAGUAACCAAAAAACAAAUAGUUUAAACACCUAAAUAAUACUAAAUCUCACCAAAACUAACAAAAGUUUUCAGUAUCUAUUGGAAUAAAUAUGCUUUAGCUUUUACAUAGAUACCAUCUUGCUUGGAUCUUGCUGAAAAAUAAAUCUAUACAUAUAGGCCAUGAAGUACUAUACUGAUAACUGGUAAAAUGGCCUUCCAUUUAUGAACUCUUGUGAACUAUGAUCUUGUGGUCUUCCAUGCUUUCUUUGGAUAAUUUGUUUAUUGAUUGUUUUGUAUUGGGGGACUGGGGAUUGAAACUAGGGGUGCUCUACCAUUGAGCUAUGUUCCCCAGGCCUUUUUAUUUUUAUUUUGGGACAGGAUCUACUCUGUUGCUGAGGCUAUCCUCAAACUUGAAAUCCUCCUGCCUCAAACUCUCAAAUAUCUGGGAUUACAGGUGUGUGCUACCAUACUUGGCUCUUUAGAAAAUGUUUUAUGUCUGUUCAUAAACUGCUGAGUAAAAACCUGGAUUUUCAAAGUUGUGCUAAGGUUUAUCUCACUACAUGUUCAUGGAAUUAUUUGUUAUCCAAAGUGAUUUGAUUAGUAUAUACUAAGUCAGUUUCCAUUCAUCAUUUUUAAUUUAAAAUUAUUACUCAAAAU
Molecule: long non-coding RNA, 8731 nt
Filed under: Marmota monax (woodchuck)
Lineage: Eukaryota; Metazoa; Chordata; Mammalia; Rodentia; Sciuridae
Source: RNAcentral